AUCCAAAGAAGAACGGGGAGUGGGAGUUACAUUUCAGAAACCUGCCUAAGUCCCUUACCUCUCUACUGGUGCUGCUCACCACAGCCAACAACGUAGAUGUGAUGAUCCCUGCCUACUCCCUGAACAGAGGCAACUCCAUUUUCUUUGUUGCCGUCAGUGUAAUUGGAACCUACUGUCUGAUGAACUUACUGACAGCCAUCAAUUAUAACCAGUUCAG
Long non-coding RNA from Xiphias gladius (swordfish), 217 nucleotides. RefSeq lists it as uncharacterized. The transcript is spliced from 3 exons. The record is from RefSeq and is a predicted model, not a curated record. Lineage: Eukaryota; Metazoa; Chordata; Actinopteri; Istiophoriformes; Xiphiidae.